GUGCUGCUUGAUUAGGCGACACAUAUACUAAAAUUAGAAUAAUACAGAGAAGAUUAGCAUGCCCCCCCCCCGUGAAAGGAUGACACACAAGUUUUUGAAGUAUUUUAUAUGUAC
Molecule: small nuclear RNA, 114 nt
Organism: Cricetulus griseus (Chinese hamster)
Lineage: Eukaryota; Metazoa; Chordata; Mammalia; Rodentia; Cricetidae
Source: Ensembl